Molecule: ribosomal RNA, 331 nt
Filed under: uncultured bacterium
Lineage: Bacteria
Description: bacterial SSU rRNA
Rfam family: Bacterial small subunit ribosomal RNA
Source: RNAcentral
CGCGUAGGUGGUAGUGCAAGUCUGAGGUGGAAUCCCAGGGCUUAACCCUGGAACUGCCUUGGAAACUGCACUACUUGAGUCAGUGAGGGGAGGGUAGAAUUCCUGGUGUAGCGGUGAAAUGCGUAGAUAUCAGGAGGAAGGCCGGUGGCGAAGGCGGCCCUCUGGCGCUGAACUGACACUGAGGCGCGAAAGCGUGGGUAGCAAACAGGAUUAGAUACCCUGGUAGUCCACGCCCUAAACGGUGGGUACCUAGGUGUAGGGCUCGUAAGGGUUCUGUGCCGAAGCGAAAGCAUUAAGUACCCCGCCUGGGGAGUACGGCCGCAAGGUUGAA